AUUAUAAAUUUAAUUAUUAUUAUUGAUUUUUUAAAGUAUUAUUUUAUUUAUUAUUAUAAAAGAAAAAUUAAUUUUUUAUUAUAGUUUACUAGUAAAGUGAUUGAAUUUAUUUAUAUAUUAAUAAGAAAAAUUUAUUUUUUGUACCUUGUGUAUCAGGGUUGAUUAAUUUUAUAAUUAUUAUUAAUUUUUCUCGAAUUAAGAAGAGCUAAUUAUGUAUAUGUUUAAUUUUUUCAUAAAUUUUCAUAAUAUAUAAUUUGAAAUGAAAUGUUAUUCGUUUCUUAAUAUAUCUAGUUUUCUAAGAAAAGAAUUUAAUUCUCUUAUUAUUUAUUAUUAGUUAACUUUUAGUUAAUAAUUUUUAGUAUGAAAUAAAUAAAGGGAUAAGCUUUUAUUUUAAUAAUUAAAAAUUUAUUUGGUUUUAUUUUUUGUAUAAUUUAAAUUGUUAAUCAUUUUUAUAAUAUAAUAGUUAAUUUUAUUUAAUUAAUGAUUUAUAUUUAUUUUAAUUUUUUUAUUAAAAAUUUAUGUUUAAUUUUUUAGCUUUUUUAUAAUGAUUAAAUUAGUAGAUAAAUAUGUAUUUUAUUAUUUAUUUUUAAGAUAAUAAAAAGGAACUCGGCAAAUAAAUUUUUCGCCUGUUUAUUAAAAACAUGUCUUUUUGAUUAUAAUUUAAGGUUUAAUCUGCUCAAUGAUUUAUUAAAUUGCCGCAGUAUUUUGACUGUGCAAAGGUAGCAUAAUAAUUAGCUUUUUUAUUGAGAGCUGGAAUGAAUGAUUGGACGAAAAAAUUUCUGUCUCUUUAUUAUUUAUUAUUUAAUUUUACUUUUAAGUUAAAAGGCUUAAAUUUUUUUAAAAGACGAGAAGACCCUAUAGAGUUUUAUUUUUAUUUUUUGAUUAAUUUUUAGAAUUUAAAAUAUUUUAUAAAAUAAAAAAUUUAGUUGGGGUGACUGAAAGAUUAAUUAAACUCUUUUAAUUGAAAUCAUUUAUUUAUGAAUAGAGAAAUUAUUUUUAUAAAUUUAAAAUAAAUUACCUUAGGGAUAACAGCGUUAUUUUUCUUUAGAGUUCUUAUUGAAAGGAAAGAUUGCGACCUCGAUGUUGGAUUAAAAUUUAUUUUUGGUGUAGAAGCUUAAAUAUUAAGUCUGUUCGACUUUUAAAAUUUUACAUGAUCUGAGUUUAAACCGGUGUAAGCCAGGUUGGUUUCUAUCUUUAAAUUUUUAAUAUAUUUUAGUACGAAAGGACCAAAUAUAUAAUAUAUUAUUUUAUUUUGAAUAAUAUU
Molecule: ribosomal RNA, 1264 nt
Filed under: Abscondita chinensis
Lineage: Eukaryota; Metazoa; Arthropoda; Insecta; Coleoptera; Lampyridae
Description: 16S ribosomal RNA
Rfam family: Archaeal large subunit ribosomal RNA (bases 1025-1183)
Source: RNAcentral